UUUAAGGAAAAAUUGUGCCCGAGCAACAACUAUCUAAAUAGUCAAAAUUCUUUUUUUUUCAUUACGUCCGGGCAGAGAUUUUAAACACAUCUUAAGUUCCAUAAAGAGUUCUAAGGGAGAAAUUAAAAGUAUUUACCAAACGCUGUUUCGUUCAAUACAUGCUCACGAUUGGAUCAAGAGCGAAAAGAAGAAAUAAAUUGCAAGCACUUAAACUGCUCCGCAUUUACUUUGAUCUGCCAAAAUUGACGACUGCUCAAUGCAAGCUCACAAUUGGAUCUGAAAUUUAAACUUGCAUUUCGAAUAACAUGAUAUUCCCAUUUGUGCACACAUAACCUCACAGGCAAGUGCCACAGAGAUUUCUCUUUUGUUGCUAUUGUCCUGUCAAGAUGAGCAAUAAAAACCCCUUGAUGAGAGUGCAGCCCAUUUACAGUGCGUAACCCCAACAAUAACAACUGACUACGGUGGCUGCAAUGCCAUGCGACUAAGUGCGAUUUGCCAUGCCUCUCGCCGCCAUCCGACCCCUAACAAUGUUGUCGCUCUGUGAAUCUGCUAGACUAUGCACUGACUGGUAUGAGGGGGUAGGCAGCAAAUUUUCGAAUGCUAUGGCCGUGCCUAGGCCAAAGCGACUUGGACAUAUCCAAUAAUGGAUGCAAUGCAAUGCAACUGCGCUCUUGCAACGGUACAACAGCAACAACACCAACAACAAUGCCAGUUGCAUCAACAAUAGCCACCAAAUUAGCCGACACACAUACGCACUCACAUAAAAGACUCUGCUGAAUGCCCUGCAUAUGGCUCCAUUGUAUAAUGGAGCACUACAAAUUGCAGGCUAGCUAACAAUACGACAGUCCAAAAGAUAGAAAGAGUGAGUGGAGGUGAGCGAGUGAGGGGCUGUGGGGGCCAAAUGUCACAUACCAUUUAGCUGACAGACAGCUUGAACCGCAGGCUGUUGAGUGACUUUUGUAGCCUGCUUGUGACUGAGCCCAGGACAGGACAGGUGUGCAUCUGCAUCCGUUGAGCAUAAUCUGGUGACAUCCGCGCCAUUGGGCAUCUCCAAAAAUGUGGAGGCUAUAGAAAGGCUUGAGAGAGCACUUAAGAUUUAAGAAGACUGGAGAAAUGGGUUAUGAUGUCCUAAGUUAUGCAACAGGCAGAACGAAAAGCAUCCGACACCACAAAGUUUAUACAGUGAAAGCUUCCACAACCGGACGCCCACUGUCGUGGCGUUUUUAUUUUUUUCGCGAAAUUCACUUUGUACGGAAAAGAGUUAGUGAAGCUUACGAAAAUGUCUGAUUAAGGGAGUUGUCCAUUAUGGAAGCCUUUACUGCUAAUUACUGAGCAGGACGACAAGAUGAAUCGAUAUCGCCACGUCCGUUCAGUGGCCAGUUUAUCUGGACUUCAUUUAUUUGAAUUAAAGCCACUUGGAAUCUUUCUAAGAUAUAAUUAAAAUAGCUGGGGGAAUAAAAUUAAAAUCAAGCCAGUUAUAUACCAUACUGUUCCUCAGACUUUUAACAGAGUCCAAAAAGGUAUUUCUUUCUAAGAUAUAAAUUUGUUGCCCGAGCA
Drosophila virilis is the source of this 1557-nucleotide long non-coding RNA. RefSeq lists it as uncharacterized. Lineage: Eukaryota; Metazoa; Arthropoda; Insecta; Diptera; Drosophilidae. The record is from RefSeq and is a predicted model, not a curated record.